GGCUGUGUAGCUCAAUUAGGCAGAGCACCCGACUCAUAAUCGGGCGGUCGAUGGUUCAAAUCCAUCCACAGCCAC
Molecule: transfer RNA, 75 nt
Filed under: Streptomyces phage BRock
Lineage: Duplodnaviria; Heunggongvirae; Uroviricota; Caudoviricetes
Description: tRNA-Met
Rfam family: tRNA
About the family: Transfer RNA (tRNA) molecules are approximately 80 nucleotides in length. Their secondary structure includes four short double-helical elements and three loops (D, anti-codon, and T loops). Further hydrogen bonds mediate the characteristic L-shaped molecular structure. tRNAs have two regions of fundamental functional importance: the anti-codon, which is responsible for specific mRNA codon recognition, and the 3' end, to which the tRNAs corresponding amino acid is attached (by aminoacyl-tRNA synthetases). tRNAs cope with the degeneracy of the genetic code in two manners: having more than one tRNA (with a specific anti-codon) for a particular amino acid; and 'wobble' base-pairing, i.e. permitting non-standard base-pairing at the 3rd anti-codon position.
Source: RNAcentral